Molecule: long non-coding RNA, 1059 nt
Filed under: Sarcophilus harrisii (Tasmanian devil)
Lineage: Eukaryota; Metazoa; Chordata; Mammalia; Dasyuromorphia; Dasyuridae
Description: lncRNA (ENSSHAG00000027645.1)
Source: RNAcentral
AUGCCCCGCCCCCAGCCCACCUGGUCCCUCCCCCUGCCUGCGCCCCAUCCAGCGGCCUCUGCCCGAUCGAUCCCCGCCCCCACCCUCAGGGAGGGUCCAUCUCCCCAUGCCCCGCCCCCGGCCCAGCUGGUCCCUCCCCCUGCCUGCGCGCCCCCCAGCGGCCUCUGCCCGAUCCCCGCCCCCAGCUCCUCUGGCCCCACCCCCGCCCCGCCCCCUCUCCUGUACCCUGUCCCAUCUGCUCAGGUCCUUCCCCCGUUCACCCCCUCCCCCCCCCGCAGUGUUCUCCCGGUCCCCACCUCCAGCUCUCCCGGUCCCUUCCCCGCGUCUGCACCCGCCCGGCCUGGCGCCCUCUCCCCUGUUUCCCCGACCCGCCUUCCUUCCACUGUUCCCCGCCCCCAGCUCCUCUUGGCCCUUCCUCUUGUCUGCCCCGGCUCCCCCUCCCCCGUACCCGCCCCACGCUCCGGUGGUCCCUGCCGCGUGUCUGCACCCCGCUCGUUCCCUGCUCCCCGGGCCCUUCUACUCCCGUCCAGACCUUGCCCCGCCCCUUUCUCCCCAGGCAUCCUCCUUGCUUCCGGGCUCCUUCCCUUUCCUCUCCCUAAGUGGCUCCGCAGACCCUUUUCUGCCCUGCCUCCAAGAGGCCUCCCCCCAUUUCCUAGAGUCCCUGCCCCCAGAUCCGGACUCUCUCCUCUCCCCGAAGAGACCCGGGUCCUUCCCUCCAUGCCCUGCUCUUCCCCUCGGUUCCUUCCCUCCAGCACGGGAGCCCAGUCUCCCUGGCCGCCCUCCUCCCCGUCCUUCCCCAGGCUCCCCCAUCCCCAGCUGGCCUGCAUCUCUGAGCGCCUGGCCCAGCAUCCCCUGCCUGUGUUAGGGAGCCUUCUCCACAUUCCCUCUUCCCCCCAUCUCCCUUCUGGUUUCCAUGGGGCAGAGCUUCUCCUGAAAGCUCACCCCCCUUCCCUUCUGUCUUCCCCACACCUUCCUUUCCUCCCACCAGGGCCCCGCAGGCGCAGAGAUGACCCCCAUAGAUUCUGCCUCCUUUCUCUGAACUCUGCCUUGGGUCUUUGA